This is a long non-coding RNA of Branchiostoma floridae (Florida lancelet), 3167 nucleotides long. RefSeq lists it as uncharacterized. The record is from RefSeq and is a predicted model, not a curated record. NCBI's taxonomy places the organism in Eukaryota, Metazoa, Chordata, Leptocardii, Amphioxiformes, Branchiostomatidae. The transcript has 2 exons.
CCGCCGCUGAAUGACAUCUGCUUAUAUCGAUUACAUUUUUAAAGCAGAAGCUAGGAGGCUCAUCGCGGCGAAUACAGCACUUCCCACGAUCUUGGCAUCCAAUGAUACGCAGGAGAGUAUGGACGGUUACAAUCUACAGAUUGCUUUGUUUCCAAACAGCUAUUUUUGUCAACCUACGAAUUUGUAGACUUUAGAGUCGUGCUGUCCAUGAAGGAUAAGUUAUAAACACAAUUUCUAACUUAUGAAAACUGGUCAAUUUGUCAAAGUGACAUCCGUGGUGCGAUGUGGGGACCGCCCAAGUAUCAGACCCGCCCACUUGUACACCGAGCAGACCUACUGGCGACCAGAAACAUUCUGGGCGUCUAGACUUGUUAUACGCCCUGCCAUUUGUCAAUUUUGGGGGAUUACCUCCACGGUGGACCAAUCGUGUGAUGGUUUUCUUAACAUGUAACUGUAUCACAGGGAUAGGAUUCGGGGACCACCUACCCCAGAGAGGCGAUAAUUCAUUUGCAGUUAUGUUGGUAGGCAGUUUUUAAUUACCUCCCAACUUGCUCACGCCAGACAACCAUGCGUGUCCAACAAUGUGAUUGGAUUCCUUGAGUAAUAAACUAAUAGCCUGGGUACCAUUUUCCAAAUGAACUACGGAUGAUAUGGUACUGAGGCCAAUAAACAAAGGGUCAUAGCAAUUCGACAUUAAAGGCAUUGAAAAUGAUCAAGCCGACCCCCAAAACUUCAUUGCCCUGUUCUCUUUUAUCGACAGGCAAUCGCCGUCUCUCUUACUACGUCUCCCUUGCUUCUUCGUCCUUCCCCAUGCGAACAUGGCGGUCGUGUACAUGGCGGUGCGCAGUUCGUGUAAUACACCAUUCACUAAAGACUAAUCCUGGGAUUACGCAAUUUCAUCAUUCACCCUAUCGACACAGGGUACUUCCAUCAUCCAGGCCUUUCCCAUAUACACCAGUAAUACAACACUGCCUUUAUGUGAUAUUACCAAGAUUACUCUCACAGCCUUUGCUGCGACCGUAACAUUUCGCGAAAAUUGAAAACAGCUUGUGGUUUAAAGCGACAUAUCUGGAAUGCCAAGUCUUUGUUUCCAGUGAUGUAAGUUGAAAACUGAAGCGAUGUUUUUGAGCAGGUCUUUUCCACUGGGGUCGAACAACCGACACCUUACACCGCUCUACAUUCACCCAGUGUUUCUGACCAGUCCGCACUGUUAUUAACUUUCAUUCUUUGCAUCUCUCCUCUUGGCAUUUCUUUGUGUAUAUUGCAUUCUAUCCUGUUUUCUAAGGUUACAGGGAGGAAUUCUCAGUGUAAAGCCAAUUGACUGACACUUGACCCCAGACAAAGCAAGGCGAGGUCUAAGUACGCCUGAGGAUCAGUCUUCAAACCCGCCAUUCAUACAUGCAGACCAACCGCCGUACGCCUUUAGGCUUUACCCUGGGUUUUACCAGACCAAGGACAGCCUUUUUCUAACGUCCUUGACCAGACUAACUACGCUGGGUAUGAUAGGGAGAUACAAACGCACGCACACUGACACAGACACACGCAAAAACGUUAUGAAAAAUACUGUAAUGGCUCCCUAGUCAAAUAGACAAUAAAUUGCUCUACACAAAAACAUGCGUUCAGAAACCUCGAAAACUACUAGUAUGGCCUCGAAGUUUGUAUAUAGAAAAAAAAAAUGAUUUAAACAGACUCCUGUCCAUAGUUUAUUAUCUGUUGGAUAAUGUGUAUUGUUUUUGUAACUUACAGUAUUUAGAGAGGUGUACGGAGUAACGUCACUUCAUCAUCGGACAAUAAGAAUUCUCGUUGAAGAGUUUAAUAAGAAUAAGCCUAGAAUAAGAAUUGUGUUUUAUGACGGACCAUUUUGGUAAGAAAUUCAAUAGGAUUGUACCUAAGAUGCCAUACAACAGUUUCUUCUGAUGCACUUCAGACCUCGACCGGACUUUCUCACCAUGACGCAAUCGUACGGCUUCGGCAUCACGGCGCAAAUAGACGUACAAAAAAGAAGCCGAAACCUUGUAUUUGCUUGGAGACCAACCAAUCACAGAGCAGCAUUUCUCAACUGUCAGGUAACUUUAUUUUGCCAGCCUCUUUUCAAUCAUCAUCGUGAAAAGUGGAUGCAGGACAGGUCCACGCUGAUGAGCUGCACGAGACCAUGAGUCAAUGAGCACAUGACCAAGAUUAAAGGCUUUGCCCGACCAAAUAGAAACUAGGAAGUGAAACAAACGCCCCCACAACAGUAAAUGCUGUGAAACCUGUCACGUGGGAGCAAGGGGAGCAGAAAGUCGACACGCGGAAGGUCAAAAGCAAUCUGGUACCAACUUUUAUUAUGUACGCCCUUCUCUUUAGAUUCAUUUUACAUCCAUGUUUUAUGUUGUAAAGUUGGCACACCGAUUAUUCCCUGUUAACGUAUAACGCACUUGCAGGCUGUUCCAGAGCCUGAGUCUUUGGUGAGUCCGCCAGAGGUUGGACAGGGUCCAAGGUUACGGUCUUUAUUUAGCAGGGACAGUACAGACGAAGGUCAGAUUAAGACCUUUCCCAGCCUCCCCUCUCAUUUGGCCUGUAUGUCCAUUCCCGACCCACGUACGCGAGGUCCCGCCGAGAAUGUCACAUCUCUGACGGCAUGGAAACACGCUGGAGCUGCUGAUCGUGAGUCACCGACACCAGCGUUGACAUGGAGCCAAGAGCAAGUACAUAUCUACUACAGAGGCGUUGUUUAGAACAGUUUCUCGAAUCUUAACUACAGCUUCGCGAUGGAAACUUGCAGGUGAUUGCGAUCACGAGGUUGACCGAUUGCGCAAUGAAAGAAUCCUGGCAAACCCUCAUCACCUUGCCUCCACGGGGAGCGUGUAGACUGCGCCACACACAUGCGGGGUCCUGUCCCUGGUGAGCACAGGGCGAGAUGGGCAUGACGGAGGGGAAGCAGCGGAUGAUGCGCUCAUACCACGGACAAUCGUGUUGACCCGAGCGGGGAUCCGGAUGUUGUGACAGUGGUCAAUGCCGGGUGGCUGCGGGCCUGUGUCUCAGAACAAAAUGACCGACUUUAGAAGUGAAUGAGAAUCUCAAAACAAGGGGGAAGACGAUACUUCUUGUGUUGGAAUACUCGGAGAAAUGGACCAAUUUCAAUGAAGCGUCGAGGUGUAAUAAACAUUUUUUUGCAUCUUGCUGUC